UCAGAUUGAACGCUGGCGGCAGGCCUAACACAUGCAAGUCGAACGGUAACAGGAAGCAGCUUGCUGCUUUGCUGACGAGUGGCGGACGGGUGAGUAAUGUCUGGGAAACUGCCUGAUGGAGGGGGAUAACUACUGGAAACGGUGGCUAAUACCGCAUAAYGUCGCAAGACCAAAGAGGGGGACCUUCGGGCCUCUUGCCAUCAGAUGUGCCCAGAUGGGAUUAGCUWGUUGGUGAGGUAACGGCUCACCAAGGCGACGAUCCCUAGCUGGUCUGAGAGGAUGACCAGCCACACUGGAACUGAGACACGGUCCAGACUCCUACGGGAGGCAGCAGUGGGGAAUAUUGCACAAUGGGCGCAAGCCUGAUGCAGCCAUGCCGCGUGUAUGAAGAAGGCCUUCGGGUUGUAAAGUACUUUCAGCGGGGAGGAAGGUGUUGUGGUUAAUAACCRCAGCAAUUGACGUUACCCGCAGAAGAAGCACCGGCUAACU
Molecule: ribosomal RNA, 489 nt
Filed under: Salmonella enterica subsp. enterica serovar Abaetetuba
Lineage: Bacteria; Pseudomonadati; Pseudomonadota; Gammaproteobacteria; Enterobacterales; Enterobacteriaceae
Description: bacterial SSU rRNA
Rfam family: Bacterial small subunit ribosomal RNA
Source: RNAcentral